CCGGAUUAAUACCGCAUACUAUCUACGGAUGAAAGCGGGGGACCUUCGGGCCUCGCGCUAUAGGGUUGGCCGAUGGCUGAUUAGCUAGUUGGUGGGGUAAAGGCCUACCAAGGCGACGAUCAGUAGCUGGUCUGAGAGGACGACCAGCCACACUGGGACUGAGACACGGCCCAGACUCCUACGGGAGGCAGCAGUGGGGAAUUUUGGACAAUGGGCGAAAGCCUGAUCCAGCAAUGCCGCGUGUGUGAAGAAGGCCUUCGGGUUGUAAAGCACUUUUGUCCGGAAAGAAAUCCUUGGUUCUAAUAUAGCCGGGGGAUGACGGUACCGGAAGAAUAAGCACCGGCUAACUACGUGCCAGCAGCCGCGGUAAUACGUAGGGUGCGAGCGUUAAUCGGAAUUACUGGGCGUAAAGCGUGCGCAGGCGGUUUGCUAAGACCGAUGUGAAAUCCCCGGGCUCAACCUGGGAACUGCAUUGGUGACUGGCAGGCUAGAGUAUGGCAGAGGGGGGUAGAAUUCCACGUGUAGCAGUGAAAUGCGUAGAGAUGUGGAGGAAUACCGAUGGCGAAGGCAGCCCCCUGGGCCAAUACUGACGCUCAUG
This 598-nucleotide ribosomal RNA is filed under the name Burkholderia sp. Z3-YC6870. RNAcentral describes it as "bacterial SSU rRNA". It matches the Rfam family "Bacterial small subunit ribosomal RNA", at positions 158 to 751 of the family's 1533-position model. Lineage: Bacteria; Pseudomonadati; Pseudomonadota; Betaproteobacteria; Burkholderiales; Burkholderiaceae. The record is from RNAcentral.